RNAcentral lists this ribosomal RNA (2904 nucleotides) under Salmonella enterica. RNAcentral describes it as "23S ribosomal RNA". It matches the Rfam family "Bacterial large subunit ribosomal RNA". The record is from RNAcentral. Lineage: Bacteria; Pseudomonadati; Pseudomonadota; Gammaproteobacteria; Enterobacterales; Enterobacteriaceae.
GGUUAAGCGACUAAGCGUACACGGUGGAUGCCCUGGCAGUCAGAGGCGAUGAAGGGCGUGCUAAUCUGCGAUAAGCGCCGGUAAGGUGAUAUGAACCGUUAUAACCGGCGAUACCCGAAUGGGGAAACCCAGUGUGAUUCGUCACACUAUCAUUAACUGAAUCCAUAGGUUAAUGAGGCGAACCGGGGGAACUGAAACAUCUAAGUACCCCGAGGAAAAGAAAUCAACCGAGAUUCCCCCAGUAGCGGCGAGCGAACGGGGAGGAGCCCAGAGCCUGAAUCAGCAUGUGUGUUAGUGGAAGCGUCUGGAAAGGCGCGCGAUACAGGGUGACAGCCCCGUACACAAAAGCGCAUGUGCUGUGAGCUCGAUGAGUAGGGCGGGACACGUGGUAUCCUGUCUGAAUAUGGGGGGACCAUCCUCCAAGGCUAAAUACUCCUGACUGACCGAUAGUGAACCAGUACCGUGAGGGAAAGGCGAAAAGAACCCCGGCGAGGGGAGUGAAAAAGAACCUGAAACCGUGUACGUACAAGCAGUGGGAGCACCCUUUGGGGUGUGACUGCGUACCUUUUGUAUAAUGGGUCAGCGACUUAUAUUCUGUAGCAAGGUUAACCGUAUAGGGGAGCCGUAGGGAAACCGAGUCUUAACCGGGCGUUAAGUUGCAGGGUAUAGACCCGAAACCCGGUGAUCUAGCCAUGGGCAGGUUGAAGGUUGGGUAACACUAACUGGAGGACCGAACCGACUAAUGUUGAAAAAUUAGCGGAUGACCUGUGGCUGGGGGUGAAAGGCCAAUCAAACCGGGAGAUAGCUGGUUCUCCCCGAAAGCUAUUUAGGUAGCGCCUCGUGAAUUCAUCUCCGGGGGUAGAGCACUGUUUCGGCUAGGGGGCCAUCCCGGCUUACCAACCCGAUGCAAACUGCGAAUACCGGAGAAUGUUAUCACGGGAGACACACGGCGGGUGCUAACGUCCGUCGUGAAGAGGGAAACAACCCAGACCGCCAGCUAAGGUCCCAAAGUCAUGGUUAAGUGGGAAACGAUGUGGGAAGGCCCAGACAGCCAGGAUGUUGGCUUAGAAGCAGCCAUCAUUUAAAGAAAGCGUAAUAGCUCACUGGUCGAGUCGGCCUGCGCGGAAGAUGUAACGGGGCUAAACCAUGCACCGAAGCUGCGGCAGCGACACUCAGGUGUUGUUGGGUAGGGGAGCGUUCUGUAAGCCUGUGAAGGUGGCCUGUGAGGGUUGCUGGAGGUAUCAGAAGUGCGAAUGCUGACAUAAGUAACGAUAAAGCGGGUGAAAAGCCCGCUCGCCGGAAGACCAAGGGUUCCUGUCCAACGUUAAUCGGGGCAGGGUGAGUCGACCCCUAAGGCGAGGCCGAAAGGCGUAGUCGAUGGGAAACGGGUUAAUAUUCCCGUACUUGGUGUUACUGCGAAGGGGGGACGGAGAAGGCUAUGUUGGCCGGGCGACGGUUGUCCCGGUUUAAGCGUGUAGGCUGGUUUUCCAGGCAAAUCCGGAAAAUCAAGGCUGAGGCGUGACGACGAGGCACUACGGUGCUGAAGCAACAAAUGCCCUGCUUCCAGGAAAAGCCUCUAAGCAUCAGGUAACAUCAAAUCGUACCCCAAACCGACACAGGUGGUCAGGUAGAGAAUACCAAGGCGCUUGAGAGAACUCGGGUGAAGGAACUAGGCAAAAUGGUGCCGUAACUUCGGGAGAAGGCACGCUGACACGUAGGUGAAGUGAUUUACUCAUGGAGCUGAAGUCAGUCGAAGAUACCAGCUGGCUGCAACUGUUUAUUAAAAACACAGCACUGUGCAAACACGAAAGUGGACGUAUACGGUGUGACGCCUGCCCGGUGCCGGAAGGUUAAUUGAUGGGGUCAGCGCAAGCGAAGCUCCUGAUCGAAGCCCCGGUAAACGGCGGCCGUAACUAUAACGGUCCUAAGGUAGCGAAAUUCCUUGUCGGGUAAGUUCCGACCUGCACGAAUGGCGUAAUGAUGGCCAGGCUGUCUCCACCCGAGACUCAGUGAAAUUGAACUCGCUGUGAAGAUGCAGUGUACCCGCGGCAAGACGGAAAGACCCCGUGAACCUUUACUAUAGCUUGACACUGAACAUUGAGCCUUGAUGUGUAGGAUAGGUGGGAGGCUUUGAAGCGUGGACGCCAGUCUGCGUGGAGCCGACCUUGAAAUACCACCCUUUAAUGUUUGAUGUUCUAACGUGGACCCGUUACCCGGGUUGCGGACAGUGUCUGGUGGGUAGUUUGACUGGGGCGGUCUCCUCCUAAAGAGUAACGGAGGAGCACGAAGGUUGGCUAAUCCUGGUCGGACAUCAGGAGGUUAGUGCAAUGGCAUAAGCCAGCUUGACUGCGAGCGUGACGGCGCGAGCAGGUGCGAAAGCAGGUCAUAGUGAUCCGGUGGUUCUGAAUGGAAGGGCCAUCGCUCAACGGAUAAAAGGUACUCCGGGGAUAACAGGCUGAUACCGCCCAAGAGUUCAUAUCGACGGCGGUGUUUGGCACCUCGAUGUCGGCUCAUCACAUCCUGGGGCUGAAGUAGGUCCCAAGGGUAUGGCUGUUCGCCAUUUAAAGUGGUACGCGAGCUGGGUUUAGAACGUCGUGAGACAGUUCGGUCCCUAUCUGCCGUGGGCGCUGGAGAACUGAGGGGGGCUGCUCCUAGUACGAGAGGACCGGAGUGGACGCAUCACUGGUGUUCGGGUUGUCAUGCCAAUGGCACUGCCCGGUAGCUAAAUGCGGAAGAGAUAAGUGCUGAAAGCAUCUAAGCACGAAACUUGCCCCGAGAUGAGUUCUCCCUGAGACUUUAGGUCUCCUGAAGGAACGUUGAAGACGACGACGUUGAUAGGUCGGGUGUGUAAGUGUAGCGAUACAUUGAGCUAACCGAUACUAAUGAACCGUGAGGCUUAACCUU